RNAcentral lists this ribosomal RNA (334 nucleotides) under unidentified low G+C gram-positive bacterium. RNAcentral's name for it is "SSU rRNA". It matches the Rfam family "Bacterial small subunit ribosomal RNA", at positions 1166 to 1499 of the family's 1533-position model. The record is from RNAcentral. Lineage: Bacteria; Bacillati; Bacillota.
GAGGAAGGUGGGGACGACGUCAAAUCAUCAUGCCCCUUAUGCUCUGGGCUACACACGUGUUACAAUGGCUGGUACAACGAGCCGCCAACUCGCGAGAGUGAGCAAAUCUCUUAAAACCAGUCUCAGUUCGGAUUGCACUCUGCAACUCGAGUGCAUGAAGUCGGAAUCGCUAGUAAACGCAGAUCAGCACGCUGCGUUGAAUACGUUCCCGGGUCUUGUACACACCGCCCGUCACACCAUGGAAGUCGACCACGCCCGAAGUACGUGAGCUAACCGUAAGGAAGCAGCGUCCUAAGGCAGGGUUGGUGACUGGGGUGAAGUCGUAACAAGGUAA